RNAcentral lists this ribosomal RNA (425 nucleotides) under uncultured cyanobacterium. RNAcentral describes it as "bacterial SSU rRNA". It matches the Rfam family "Bacterial small subunit ribosomal RNA", at positions 356 to 795 of the family's 1533-position model. The record is from RNAcentral. Lineage: Bacteria; Bacillati; Cyanobacteriota.
GGGGAAUUUUCCGCAAUGGGCGAAAGCCUGACGGAGCAAUACCGCGUGAGGGAGGAAGGCUCUUGGGUUGUAAACCUCUUUUCUCAGGGGAAUAAGAACUGAAGGUACCUGAGGAAUCAGCAUCGGCUAACUCCGUGCCAGCAGCCGCGGUAAUACGGAGGAGGCAAGCGUUAUCCGGAAUUAUUGGGCGUAAAGCGUCCGUAGGUGGUUUAGUAAGUCUGCUGUUAAAGCGCGGGGCUUAACUCCGUAUCGGCAGUGGAAACUACUAGACUAGAGUGUGGUAGGGGUAGAGGGAAUUCCCAGUGUACCGGUGAAAUGCGUAGAUAUUGGGAAGAACACCGGUGGCGAAAGCGCUCUACUGGGCCAUAACUGACACUGAUGGACGAAAGCUAGGGGAGCGAAAGGGAUUAGAUACCCCUGUAGUC